Cannabis sativa is the source of this 659-nucleotide long non-coding RNA. RefSeq lists it as uncharacterized. The record is from RefSeq and is a predicted model, not a curated record. The transcript is spliced from 3 exons. Lineage: Eukaryota; Viridiplantae; Streptophyta; Magnoliopsida; Rosales; Cannabaceae.
CUAGCUGAAUUAUGUUUAGAAUAGGACAAAGGACAUUUAGUGUUAUCCGCAUUAAACUAAAAACAAGAAUUCAAACUUAUCUCACUCUUUCUCUUUCUUCACCUUCGUCUACCAUAGAACCUAAGAGAAAUCAGAUUUUCUCCUCCAAUUAAAACCAAAAUCUUGAGUGUUUAGAGCAAGAAUUUAAGCAUCUAAUGAAGAGAUUACCCAAGGUAAGAGCCAGAACUAAAUCAAAAUGAGUUUAUAGCUGGAUGAAGAUUGUACAUACCAAGAAGAGUAUUAACAAGAUCUAAGCUUGGAGCUCCUUCAGGUGUUGGAUUCUUCACAAUCUUCCGCACUUUGUUUGAGUACUUAACUUAAUAUGAGUGGGCAUGUACUCUAUCACUAUAGGGACAAAAUUUAUGAAGAGAAAAAGAGAGAGAGGGAUUCGAAAUAAAGAGAGAGAUGGCUCUUUGUUAAUCUGACAAAUUUGACUGAGAGGCUUAUGUAUCAGUGUCAAAUUAAGAUCCUAUCACUAUCUAUUUAUAAGAAUUCUUCUAGGGUUAAGUUUGAAUUAUAUCAAAUUAAAAAAUGAUAAAUAAAUGGCUAAAUUUCUCCUUAAGUGGCGGACCAUGGGAUGUGGGUCCCACUAGUUAUAAUUUUACCAUUUUAUUCAACAA